This is a long non-coding RNA of Heterocephalus glaber (naked mole-rat), 669 nucleotides long. The record is from Ensembl. Lineage: Eukaryota; Metazoa; Chordata; Mammalia; Rodentia; Bathyergidae.
CUGCCAUUCAUGACGUGUGAUCCUCUCCCUGGGUGGGUGCUCAGGGUCAAAUGCUGCAUUUCAUCCUCUGACUCAGGUUCUUGCCAAGCCCAAGGUCAACAGCAGUAAGCCCCAACUUGUGGGCGCACCCUGACACACAUAAAACAAGGACUUGGUGAGGAAAGUGCAGUACCCUCCCAUUUAUAGGUAUGAAACUUCUUUCAUAUGUAAAGCAGAGAGCUGCACAAUCGGGGCUAUUGAUAUUCCAGGGGGAAGAAAGAAGACGAAGAAAUGUUUUUCCCCAAGGAAAGGGAAAGGUAGAAGUUGAAAAUGAAUCAGAUUUAAUCACAUUCCAGACAGUAAGAUGCUUGGCCAGAAGACUGCAUUUCUCAGCCUCCCUGAAAGGGACCAAGGGUUAGUGAGGUGGAGACAGAAGUUUUCGGGUGAAGCUUACCAGAAAUGACUUUAAGAAUGAAAGAAACAGCUGGCAUGUGCCCUUCUUUUUGCUUGCUGAUUGGUAUGAAGAUAUCAUCAUUGGUGUUACAGCAGCCAUUUUAUGAAUAUGAGGCAGCCUCGAGCCUGGAAAAUAUGUGCUAGAAAUGAAAGAGAAAACUGGUUGGAGCCUGACUCCCUGAUGAAAUCACCGAGCUUCCCAUAAUUUCUUUGGACUGGCUAACAUGAAACUUUUAC